GUCCCUGUGGCGCAAUUGGUUAGCGCGUUCGGCUGUUAACCGAGAGGUUUGGUGGUUCAAGCCCACCCAGGGACG
Molecule: transfer RNA, 75 nt
Filed under: Balaenoptera acutorostrata scammoni
Lineage: Eukaryota; Metazoa; Chordata; Mammalia; Artiodactyla; Balaenopteridae
Description: tRNA-Asn (GTT) (tRNA-Asn-GTT-5-1)
Rfam family: tRNA
About the family: Transfer RNA (tRNA) molecules are approximately 80 nucleotides in length. Their secondary structure includes four short double-helical elements and three loops (D, anti-codon, and T loops).
Source: RNAcentral